UGGGGAAUCUUCCGCAAUGGACGAAAGUCUGACGGAGCAACGCCGCGUGAGUGAAGAAGGUUUUCGGAUCGUAAAACUCUGUCUUUUGGGGCGAACGUGAGUAUGGUGAACAAUCAUAGUCAGUGACGGUACCAAAGGAGGAAGCCACGGCUAACUACGUGCCAGCAGCCGCGGUAAUACGUAGGUGGCAAGCGUUGUCCGGAAUUAUUGGGCGUAAAGAGCGCGUAGGCGGGAUAGUCAGUCUGUUGUAAAGUGCGGGCUCAACCCCGUGAUGGCAAUGGAAACAGCUAUUCUUGAGUGCAGGAGAGGAAAGUGGAAUUCCCAGUGUAGCGGUGAAAUGCGUAGAUAUUGGGAGGAACACCAGUGGCGAAGGCGACUUUCUGGACUGUGUCUGACGCUGAGGCGCGAAAGCCAGGGGAGCGAACGGGAUUAGAUACCCCGGUAGUCCUGGCCGUAAACGAUGGGUACUAGGUGUGGGAGGUAUCGACCCCUUCCGUGCCGGAGUUAACGCAAUAAGUACCCCGCCUGGGGAGUACGGUCGCAAGACUGAAACUCAAAUGAAUUGACGGGGUCAUAGCUGUUUCCUG
Molecule: ribosomal RNA, 587 nt
Filed under: uncultured bacterium
Lineage: Bacteria
Description: partial 16S ribosomal RNA
Rfam family: Bacterial small subunit ribosomal RNA
Source: RNAcentral